GUUCAGGUGGAGUCGUCGUUGAAAUACCACUCUGGUCGUGCUGGAUGUCUAACCUGGGUCCGUGAUCCGGAUCAGGGACAGUGUCUGAUGGGUAGUUUAACUGGGGCGGUUGCCUCCUAAAGAGUAACGGAGGCGCCCAAAGGUUCCCUCAGCCUGGUUGGCAAUCAGGUGUUGAGUGUAAGUGCACAAGGGAGCUUGACUGUGAGACCGACGGGUCGAGCAGGGACGAAAGUCGGGACUAGUGAUCCGGCGGUGGCUUGUGGAAGCGCCGUCGCUCAACGGAUAAAAGGUACCCCGGGGAUAACAGGCUGAUCUUCCCCAAGAGUCCAUAUCGACGGGAUGGUUUGGCACCUCGAUGUCGGCUCGUCGCAUCCUGGGGCUGGAGUCGGUCCCAAGGGUUGGGCUGUUCGCCCAUUAAAGCGGUACGCGAGCUGGGUUUAGAACGUCGUGAGACAGUUCGGUCCCUAUCCGCUGUGCGCGUAGGAGUCUUGAGAAGGGCUGUCCCUAGUACGAGAGGACCGGGACGGACGAACCUCUGGUGUGCCAGUUGUUCUGCCAAGGGCAUGGCUGGUUGGCUACGUUCGGGAGGGAUAACCGCUGAAAGCAUCUAAGCGGGAAGCCUGCUUCGAGAUGAGGACUCCCACCCACUUGAUGGGGUAAGGCUCCCAGUAGACGACUGGGUUGAUAGGCCGGAUCUGGAAGCACAGUAAUGUGUGGAGGUGACCGGUACUAAUAGGCCGAGGGCUUGUCCUCAGUUG
RNAcentral lists this ribosomal RNA (758 nucleotides) under Streptomyces griseoruber. Its description in RNAcentral is "bacterial LSU rRNA". It matches the Rfam family "Bacterial large subunit ribosomal RNA", at positions 2174 to 2925 of the family's 2925-position model. Lineage: Bacteria; Bacillati; Actinomycetota; Actinomycetes; Kitasatosporales; Streptomycetaceae. The record is from RNAcentral.